RNAcentral lists this long non-coding RNA (470 nucleotides) under Mytilus galloprovincialis (Mediterranean mussel). Lineage: Eukaryota; Metazoa; Mollusca; Bivalvia; Mytilida; Mytilidae. The record is from RNAcentral.
GUCCAUAUCUCAGAUACUACAAGCAAUAGGGCUAGUAUAUUCGUCGUAUGGAAGGACUGUAAGGUGUACAUCUCCAACUGGCAGGUGUCAUCUGACCUUGACCUCAUUUUCAUGGUUCAGUGGUUAUAGUUAAAUUUUUGUGUUUUGGUCUGUUUUUCUCAUACUAUAUGCAAUAGGUCUACUAUAUUUAUUGUAUGGAAUGAUUGUAAGGUGUACCUAUCUAGCGGGCAGAUGUCAUGUGACCUUGACCUCAUUUUCAUGGUUCAGUGGUCAAAGUUAAGUUUUUGAGUUUUGGUCUUUUUAUCUAAAACUAUAUGCCAUAGGACAUCUAUAUUUGGUGUAUGGAAAUAUUUUAUGAUCUUUAUGUCAGUCGCGCAGGUUUUAUUUGACCAUGACCUCAUUUUCACGGUUCAUUGCACAGUGUUAAGUUUUUGUGUUUUGGUCUAUUUUCUUAAACUAUAAGUAAUAGG